RNAcentral lists this ribosomal RNA (496 nucleotides) under uncultured bacterium. Its description in RNAcentral is "partial 16S ribosomal RNA". It matches the Rfam family "Bacterial small subunit ribosomal RNA", at positions 29 to 507 of the family's 1533-position model. The record is from RNAcentral.
AUGAACGCUGGCGGCGUGCCUCAUACAUGCAAGUCGAGCGAACAGACGAGGAGCUUGCUCCUUUGACGUUAGCGGCGGACGGGUGAGUAACACGUGGGUAACCUACCUAUAAGACUGGGAUAACUUCGGGAAACCGGAGCUAAUACCGGAUAAUAUUUCGAACCGCAUGGUUCGAUAGUGAAAGAUGGCUUUGCUAUCACUUAUAGAUGGACCUGCGCCGUAUUAGCUAGUUGGUAAGGUAACGGCUUACCAAGGCAACGAUACGUAGCCGACCUGAGAGGGUGAUCGGCCACACUGGAACUGAGACACGGUCCAGAAUCCUACGGGAGGCAGCAGUAGGGAAUCUUCCGCAAUGGGCGAAAGCCUGACGGGGCAACGCCGCGUGAGUGAUGAAGGUCUUCGGAUCGUAAAACUCUGUUAUUAGGGAAGAAUAAACGUGUAAGUAACUGUGCACGUCUUGACGGUACCUAAUCAGAAAGCCACGGCUAACUACGUG